CAGUGGCGUGCUGGGUACUAUUUUUCUGGGGAGGCCAGUCGGCUGGCAACUAAUAUGCGCCCCUAUAAUAUUACCCUUGAUAAACGAGGGCCGAAGGCACGAGCCGAGCGCCGCAGGUGCGAGGUUUGUCUAGGGGGGUCCGGGGGCAUGCCCCCCAGGAAAAUUUUUGAAUUUAGAGUCUCUGAAAUGGCAUUUCCUGGACUUUGGGGGAAGAUUUGACAGAAAUCUGAUGGUCAGGAAACGGCAUUACAACGUGUCGAAAUUUGAAAAUUGGUUAGAAUUUAGUAGUAGCACUUAAAUUGGGCAAUGCUAACUACUUCCAGCAAUUAAUCUAAUCCCAAUUCCAUUCUCUACUGAUCUGAAUACAUUUACAAUUUACAGCUCUUUCAUACAAUAACACACGAAUCCCACGCAUAUGCAUUUUAAGGUUUCCUUGCCUGGCUGCCAAAAGGGCGUGUUUCAUCAUUAUCUCAAUACUUGCAUUACUCAUAAUGUUUCUUGCGCAAACAACUAAAUUGCGUACACAACUUUACAUUAUCAUAACUUCAACUAUCUAAUUUGCGCCGCUCUCGUGAUUCGUGAAGCAUAAUAAAGGGCAUAAUAUAAGGGUAUAAUACCAGCAAAAAAGGGCAUAAUUCCCGUGAUCGCUUCGAAGCCUGGUCAAUAUUCCGGUAAUGAGACAUUGCGUGUGAUCACUGAUCAUGUUUCUAUAUGAACGAGUGAUUUCGUGUGAGUCGUGAGGUAGCAAAUACGGUUAGACAAAAUAGUCUGCAAUUUAAUAUACUCACUUUGUCGC
Paramuricea clavata is the source of this 796-nucleotide non-coding RNA. The record is from the annotation of a GenBank genome assembly. Lineage: Eukaryota; Metazoa; Cnidaria; Anthozoa; Malacalcyonacea; Plexauridae.